GGGGAGGUGCCAGAGCGGUUGAAUGGGGCGGUCUCGAAAACCGUUGUACGGUCCUGCCGUACCGUGGGUUCGAAUCCCACCCUCUCCGCCA
Molecule: transfer RNA, 91 nt
Filed under: Deinococcus sp.
Lineage: Bacteria; Thermotogati; Deinococcota; Deinococci; Deinococcales; Deinococcaceae
Also listed under: 1 other name
Description: tRNA-Ser
Rfam family: tRNA
About the family: Transfer RNA (tRNA) molecules are approximately 80 nucleotides in length. Their secondary structure includes four short double-helical elements and three loops (D, anti-codon, and T loops).
Source: RNAcentral